AAGUCGUAACAAGGUUUCCGUAAGUUUUAUCGCCUCAAUCUGCAGACCAAUGCUAACAACCCUCUAGGUAGGUGAACCUGCGGAAGGAUCAUUAAAAGUUGUACCCUUUGGGGCACUUCCACCCUUGCAAAUAUACAUCUGCUUGGUCUUCGGGCCAAAAUUUUACUCUUGAACUUUCUUCUGAAUGAGACAAAAUAAAAAAAA
Molecule: unclassified non-coding RNA, 204 nt
Filed under: plant metagenome
Description: partial contains small subunit ribosomal RNA and internal transcribed spacer 1
Source: RNAcentral